This 664-nucleotide unclassified non-coding RNA is filed under the name Lecanicillium aphanocladii. Its description in RNAcentral is "sequence contains 18S rRNA gene, ITS1, 5.8S rRNA gene, ITS2, 28S rRNA gene". The stretch from base 232 to 385 matches the Rfam family "5.8S ribosomal RNA". The record is from RNAcentral. Lineage: Eukaryota; Fungi; Ascomycota; Sordariomycetes; Hypocreales; Cordycipitaceae.
AGUCGUAACAAGGUCUCCGUUGGUGAACCAGCGGAGGGAUCAUUACAGAGUUUACAACUCCCAAACCCUUAUGUGAACAUACCACGAUGUUGCUUCGGCGGACUCGCCCCGGCGUCCGGACGGCCUAGCGCCGCCCGCGGCCCGGAUCCAGGCGGCCGCCGGAGACCACCAAAACUAUUUUGUAUCAGCAGUUUUUUCUGAAUCCGCCGCAAGGCAAAACAAAUGAAUCAAAACUUUCAACAACGGAUCUCUUGGUUCUGGCAUCGAUGAAGAACGCAGCGAAAUGCGAUAAGUAAUGUGAAUUGCAGAAUUCAGUGAAUCAUCGAAUCUUUGAACGCACAUUGCGCCCGCCAGCAUUCUGGCGGGCAUGCCUGUUCGAGCGUCAUUUCAACCCUCGACUUCCCUUUGGGGAAAUCGGCGUUGGGGACUGGCAGCAUACCGCCGGCCCCGAAAUGGAGUGGCGGCCCGUCCGCGGCGACCUCUGCGUAGUAAUCCAACCUCGCACCGGAACCCCGACGUGGCCACGCCGUAAAACACCCCACUUUCUGAACGUUGACCUCGGAUCAGGUAGGAAUACCCGCUGAACUUAAGCAUAUCAAUAAGCGGAGGAAAAGAAACCAACAGGGAUUGCCCCAGUAACGGCGAGUGAAGCGGCAACAGCUCA